UUGGACGUUUGAUCCUGGCUCAGGACGAACGCUGGCGGCGUGCCUAAUACAUGCAAGUCGAGCGGACAGAUGGGAGCUUGCUCCCUGAUGUUAGCGGCGGACGGGUGAGUAACACGUGGGUAACCUGCCUGUAAGACUGGGAUAACUCCGGGAAACCGGGGCUAAUACCGGAUGGUUGUCUGAACCGCAUGGUUCAGACAUAAAAGGUGGCUUCGGCUACCACUUACAGAUGGACCCGCGGCGCAUUAGCUAGUUGGUGAGGUAACGGCUCACCAAGGCGACGAUGCGUAGCCGACCUGAGAGGGUGAUCGGCCACACUGGGACUGAGACACGGCCCAGACUCCUACGGGAGGCAGCAGUAGGGAUCUUCCGCAAUGGACGAAAGUCUGACGGAGCAACGCCGCGUGAGUGAGAGGUUUUCGGACGUAAAGCUCUGUUGUUGGGAAAACAAUGCCGUUCAAUAGGGCGGCAACUGACGGUACUAACGAAAACCGAGUCAUC
RNAcentral lists this ribosomal RNA (501 nucleotides) under Bacillus amyloliquefaciens. RNAcentral describes it as "bacterial SSU rRNA". It matches the Rfam family "Bacterial small subunit ribosomal RNA", at positions 1 to 497 of the family's 1533-position model. Lineage: Bacteria; Bacillati; Bacillota; Bacilli; Caryophanales; Bacillaceae. The record is from RNAcentral.